GGAUCAAUUUAUUGGUCGUACCUUUGGUACGUACUGAUUUUAUUGGUUUCUCCCUUCUGAUGAACCAUGAUGUCAUUAAUUUGGUGUCUUGGGGAAUCAGGACUGUUACUUUGAAAAAUUAGAGUGUUUAAAGCAGGCUCACGCUUGAAUACAUUAGCAUGGAAUAAUGAAAUAGGACGUUUAAUUCUAUUUUGUUGGUUUCUAGGAUUGACGUAAUGAU
This 220-nucleotide ribosomal RNA is filed under the name uncultured fungus. Its description in RNAcentral is "partial 18S ribosomal RNA". The stretch from base 47 to 220 matches the Rfam family "Eukaryotic small subunit ribosomal RNA", at positions 693 to 869 of the family's 1831-position model. Lineage: Eukaryota; Fungi. The record is from RNAcentral.